UGGGGAAUUUUGGACAAUGGGCGCAAGCCUGAUCCAGCAAUGCCGCGUGCAGGAUGAGGGCCUUCGGGUUGUAAACUGCUUUUGUACGGGACGAAACGGCUCUGUCUAAUACAUGGGGCUAAUGACGGCACCGUAAGAAUAAGCACCGACUAACUACGUGCCAGCAGCCGCGGUAAUACGUAGGGUGCAAGCGUUAAUCGGAAUUACUGGGCGUAAAGCGUGCGCAGGCGGUGAUAUAAGACAGAUGUGAAAUCCCCGGGCUCAACCUGGGACCUGCAUUUGUGACUGUAUAGCUAGAGUACGGUAGAGGGGGAUGGAAUUCCGCGUGUAGCAGUGAAAUGCGUAGAUAUGCGGAGGAACACCGAUGGCGAAGGCAAUCCCCUGGACCUGUACUGACGCUCAUGCACGAAAGCGUGGGGAGCAAACA
This 427-nucleotide ribosomal RNA is filed under the name uncultured bacterium. RNAcentral's name for it is "bacterial SSU rRNA". It matches the Rfam family "Bacterial small subunit ribosomal RNA", at positions 355 to 774 of the family's 1533-position model. The record is from RNAcentral.